CUAGGCCUGGGCUUUCGGUUAUCCGUUCGGUUAUCGGUUGGGUCCAUUCGGUUUUCGGUUCUUUCGGUUUUAAAAUUUAGUAUCCAUUCGGAUAUUUUGAAAUUUCGGUUCGGUUUCGGUUUGGUUCCGGUUCUUUCGGUUUUAAAAUUUAGUAUCCAUUCGGUUAUUUUGCUUAGAAUAUUUUCGGAUAUUUCGGUUAUUUUUGAGUAUUUUCG
RNAcentral lists this long non-coding RNA (215 nucleotides) under Arabidopsis lyrata. RNAcentral's name for it is "long non-coding RNA (ALYR_LNC003208)". The record is from RNAcentral. Lineage: Eukaryota; Viridiplantae; Streptophyta; Magnoliopsida; Brassicales; Brassicaceae.